RNAcentral lists this ribosomal RNA (447 nucleotides) under uncultured bacterium. RNAcentral's name for it is "bacterial SSU rRNA". It matches the Rfam family "Bacterial small subunit ribosomal RNA", at positions 331 to 794 of the family's 1533-position model. The record is from RNAcentral.
CCAGACUCCUACGGGAGGCAGCAGUGGGGAAUAUUGCACAAUGGGGGAAACCCUGAUGCAGCGACGCCGCGUGAGUGAAGAAGUAAUUCGUUAUGUAAAGCUCUAUCAGCAGGGAAGAAAAUGACGGUACCUGAGUAAGAAGCCCCGGCUAACUACGUGCCAGCAGCCGCGGUAAUACGUAGGGGGCAAGCGUUAUCCGGAUUUACUGGGUGUAAAGGGGGCGCAGACGGCGAUGCAAGCCAGGAGUGAAAGCCCGGGGCCCAACCCCGGGACUGCUCUUGGAACUGCGUGGCUGGAGUGCAGGAGGGGCAGGCGGAAUUCCUGGUGUAGCGGUGAAAUGCAUAGAUAUAACGAAGAACCCCGAUUGCGAAGGCAGCAUACCGGCUCCACACUGACGCUGAGGCACGAAAGCGUGGGUAUCGAACAGGAUUAGAUACCCUGGUAAGA